AGGGCUGAGCGGGGCAGUGCCUAAAAUGGCGGGGGGAGCCCGCCGCGGGGUUCCCUUGCCGCGUCGCCCCUCACAGCUUGCGCUUCUGCUGGGACAGCGCUGCUGCGGCAGGUGUCCGGCGGGGAGCCCGUGUCCUGGCCCGGGCAGGUGUCCGCAGCAGGGUGGCCGCUGGGGCUGCUUUAGAGUUCGUAUUGCAAGUUUUGAAUCAUCGAAUCGUAAUCAGAGAAUUACAGAAUGGUCUGGGUUGAAAAGCACCUCAAAGAUCACGGAGUUUCAACCCCCCUGCCGUGCGCAGCGCCAGAAGGUGAAGUGAACGGCCGUGAGUGUGGUGUGGCAUCACCGGGGUAUCGUGGUGAGGGUGUCUGAGGGGGGGAACACCUCCCACAUCACUUAUGUUUUUUUCCUGUGUUCUGCUGACACCGGUCACUGGUUGGGUUUGUAUUAGAGCAGCAACGCGUGUACUGAAGUAACAUUUUUAUCAGAACAGCCCAGCAGUGUGCUGUUUGAUCUGCUCUGUAUUAUAACAUUGCCAUGAUUCACACUGACCCACACCUCAGCUGGAACAGACCACGGUGUGUUAGCGAGGAAGGGGCUGAGGGGUGUUUUUGGGGCCUCAGUGCUCCUGCUGACUCAUAAAGUGUUUGUUUGCAUUUCCUAGGUUUCAAACUAUUCUUCAGUGUAUUGUCAUAUGAAAAACAGGCAGGUAUAUGUGUAAUGCUUGCUUAACCCACUGCAUUUGUGAGUAACUCAGCACAAGAGGGAUGUUUUUGCUGUCGGCCUCAUUUAGACUCAGGGAACACCAGGUUCCUUUCAUUUUCGCAAAUACGGAUUUCAGGAAUAAUGCAACCGAGCAUAAUGUGAUGCUAGCUGUGUUUUCACUUUAUAGACACAUAUUUUAAGAGUGUGCUUAGACUUGUAAAAAUCAAGUGUGCAAGUUAUCAAAUUCAGAAAUCAAAACCCUUUCAGCCAUAAUUCACACCUCUGGACAUGGAAGUGGCUUUCUGGUCACAUCAACGGUGUCCCCUCCUGCUUGGUCAGUAUGCAGAAUGCUUAGUGUUCAGCAGGUGGCUCUUUGUUGUUAGUUAGUCACUCAAAGCAUGUAUUUGCUCCUGUUUGUCAUCACUCACAGCUCCCGUUGGUUCCUAUUUGUCAUCUACCCAGUAAAGUCUGCUCAUCUGAAACUCAGCUCCCUCCUGAGCUCUGAAAAAGUCAUAGCCCAUCUCUGGACUCCACCAUCUUCUUUCUUACUUGCUGUGCUGUUCCGUUUACUAUUACAGACUGCUUCAUGAAUACUUAGUCUCCAGCUCCUAAUCACCUUGUUCAGUGAGCUGUUGUCUUCCCACCUGGGUUUUAUCUAAUCUCCCUUUCAAAUUGGCAUGCAUGUAUGUGCUGGCUUUCAGUUUCUAUGGUGGUUUCCCUCUCUUUCUAUGGUGGUUUCCCUCUCAGCUCUCAUCUGGGCCUGUUCCAGCCAGUGCUCUCAUGCUGUCUGCCAGCACUGAAUUUUCACUGCUCGUUAUUUCUUGAUUUAUUCUAUCCAGUCUGUCUUUUUGUUCCCUUUCCAUUCAAAGCAGAUGGCUUGUCCCUUAUUUGCCUGGAUCUAGCAACAGUGGAAGGAACUGAGAACAAGGUCACCUCUACCCGAGGGAUGCCUGUAGAAAGAGAAGGCUUAUAAGGGAAGAAGCAGUGUACUGUCUGCCAUCAUCAGCUGAAUCAAAGUGAGAAACAAGGGUUGCUGCAAGCUUUUCUGGAGGAAAAAAAACUGGGAUUACCUGUGUGCAGGCCCUCCAUUCAGGAGGAUGAAGGAAUGUAUGUAGAGUUCCCAAGAGCUGCUGCCUAACCCCAGAUUCCUAACAGAAAACCCUAACACGAUCGAAGAAUGGAAAGUACAGUGAUUUUAGACUUACAGUGGGAUGGAGAUUAAUUUGACUAGUGUAAUUAUUAUAGCCUUUUAUUUUGGUGAGGGAGCACACCAGGCCAGAUUGUCACUGUUGACUUUAUGUCUGUAUGUAGAGUUUAUCAUCUCUCACCUCAGUAGAGGAAUGCUGCUGUCUGCAGUGCAUUGCAGACUCAUGUCACACACGAAAUGGCAGGGCUUGCUUUCAGGAGGGAUUAGCUGUGAUGCUUCAGUGCAAGAGGGACCAUGAUCAUUACAAAGGGAAGAAUUCCUCAAAAUCUUGCUGAAACCUUUACAGAAUCUGUUUCAAAUAAAGCUACCCAUUUUUUUUUGCCAAGGUAUUUCCAGUAUUUUUCACAUUCGCAGAUCUACUGAGAACUAAUUUUUUCACAGUUCAGCAUGUUUUUCCAGAUCUGGUUACUAAUGAUCUCGCCAGCAAGCCAAAGUGCAACAGCUGUAUGUAAUCAUUGUAAUGCUCCCUCGUGGUGACUUGGGUUAUAGCAUGUUACUUUUGUUCACUUCUCCAGCUGUAUUAGCUACCACUAAACCAGGUCUACCGCUUGCUAAAUGCAAAAUAUCAUGCAAAAGCAUUAAGUGCAUGAGAGGUCUCAUUAAUACUUCUGUUUUCACUUCACUUGACAGGAUCAAACUGUGAUCAAAUAAAAAAUGUCGGUGAUUUAAAAAAAAAAAAAAAAAAAAAAGCAUUAGCAAGCAAUUUACUUGAAUAUCUCACCUGACCCUGCUCCCUCUUCCCCCAGCUGCAAGAGAUCUCCAUUGCAGAGCUGUAGGUGGUGACCUGCUGUCUCUAAAUCUUUCUGUCUGUCUCUGCAUCCCACCGCACCAUGGAAGAGAUCCAGUGGCAACAGCCUGUGUCAAACUGUCAUGAAAAUGUUUUAUGGUCAUGCUCAUGUUUCUGGAUGUAUUAAACUAAAUUUGGUAAACAGAGGUAACAGACAGCAACCCAUAUUUGUCUGCAGCCUAGCUGCAGGGAACAGGUUGUAGUGGCAACCAUGUGCUUGGAAUUAAUUGAUGCAGGUAAUGUGUGAAUGCACCAGUCCCUGCAAAAUGGUUGCCUUGCUAAAUCAAGCUAGACUUACGCCUGUGAAAUCAGUUUUACUAGUGACAGCAGCUAUAUGAGAUGUUUUGCCAACAGAAACCAUGCUGAUUACAAAUCUCACCCCCGCACAUCUCCAGCCAAUAUUUCUACAACACAGAUCUGCCAGGUUGGUAACAGAAGCAAGCUUUGAAAGGCUUUUUUGUCUGACACCUCCUCACUUCCAAAUAUUAUUGGGCACAAGUUUGUUUACUUCCUGCAUGCAGAAAAUGAUGCACAUUAAUCCUCACCUCGUGAAGAAAAUGAAGAAUGUGAAGAAGGCACAAGAAAAACAGCACAUGAACAUGGGUAGAUUUCAUUUCAUUGUACUCAGAUUUUCACUCCUCUGUGAAACAGUUAUUUUCUCAGCCAGCUAGCAAUGCAAGGGUGCAUUAAGCAUGAAAAGGUGGUUAGCUUUUCCUGUUAGCUUGAUUAUGCCAAUCUAAAUGCAGUAGUAACUUCCUCAAAUGGUGACCACAUUGCUUUACUGCUCCCCUUAGCAGUUAUAAGCUCAUUUUAAAUGUUCAGAUUUCUGAGACUGGCUCAAAAUAAACUGCUGCACGAACAGGUCCUUCCUUUAAAAGAAUUAUCUUGCCACAAAAUGCAGCAGCAAAAGCAGACACUGAGAAAUGCAGCAGUUCUAACUACAAAGUUGGUUGCACAGGAAUGAUAAGCUCAGUAAGACUUCAACUGUCACUUUCUGGGUUUGAGAGACUUGCCUAGUCAUGUUAGCAGUUUUCUAGUUCUUGCAGCAAGUGGGCCCUGCAGCAGCUCUCAUGUUUACUUUUACGGUCACAUAAAUCAUAGAAUUGCUCAGGUUGGAAAAGACCUUAAAGAUCAUUAAGUCUAACCAUGCUACCCUAACUCUAACAACCGUGCACUAAAUCAUGUCCCUGAGCACCACAUCCAAAUGGUUUUUAAACAUGUCCAGGGAUGGUGACUUAACCACCUCCCUGGGGAGUCUUUUCCAGUGCUUAACAACCCUUUCUGUAAAGAAGCUUUUCCUGAUAUCCAACCUAAACUUACCCUGGUGCAACUUGAGGCCAUUUCCCCUCGUCCUGUCACCACUGAGAAGAGACCAGCCCUGCUCUCACUGUAAGCACCUUUCAGAUAUUGGAAGAGAGCAAGGUCUCCCCUCAGCUUCCUUUUCCCCAGACUAAACAGCCCCAGGUCCCCCAUCCUCUCCUCACAGGGCAUAUUCUCCAAGCCCUUCACUAGCCUUGUUGUCCUCCAUUGGACCUGCUCCAGCACUUCAAUGUCCUUCCUGUACUGAGGUGCCCCAAACUGAACACAGUACUUGAGGUGAGACCUCAUCAAUGCUGAGUACAGAGGCAGGAUGACUUCCCUAGUCCUGCUCACCACACCAUUCCUGAUACAUGCUAGGAUGCCAUUGGCCUUCUUGGCCACCUGAGCACACUGCUGGCUCACAUUCAUCCGACGGCCCACAAGUACACCAGGUCCCUUUCCAUCAGGCAGCUUUCCAACCACUCUUCUCCAAGCCUGUAGGGUUGUCUGGGGUUUUUGGAAGUAUGACACUAGUUCUAUAAAGUUAAAAGAAGAAAUGCUUCAUUUGCUGUGGAAAAAAAAAAAAAAAAAGCAUUUGCUUAAUGUUAGCACAGGUAUUAUGCUGUGCAGGAAUUACUGGUCACCUCUAAACAUGCAGCAGAGAUAUGUACUUGCAGGCUUGCACUUGCAGAGGAUCAAUGUGAGUGCAAAAUCACUUUUGCACAUGGAAGGAUUGUGUUUUCAAAUAUGCUUAGACAAUAUAAAAACACUUUUCAAAGGCAACUUCAGCAUUUAGCCUAGUUAUGAAGAAGUCAAGAGAUGCACUUGGUUUGUAAAGCAUUUUUAUUAAAGGAUUUCAUGUUAA
This is a long non-coding RNA of Gallus gallus (chicken), 4857 nucleotides long. RefSeq lists it as uncharacterized. NCBI's taxonomy places the organism in Eukaryota, Metazoa, Chordata, Aves, Galliformes, Phasianidae. The transcript is spliced from 3 exons. The record is from RefSeq and is a predicted model, not a curated record.